CCACGUCCGCGCAGUCGAUGUUCCCAGGCGCAGUCGUGAACUCGGAAAAAGCGCAAAAAAAAAGAAGCACCGGGCGAGUGCCUCUUCUUACAUUUCGAUCUGUCCUGUGACUUGAACGGGCGCUGUCGUGCUCGCUCUGUGGCGCGCACACGCACCGAGGGCGGGAGAAAUACUUUUUCUCUCUGUCCCUCCUUCAGUCACCUUGCAUGCGCCUGGUUACUCCGUUGUACCGUUGCUGCUCAUUGGUGCGUCGCCCCGUGCCUCAGGUCGACCCUCUCUACGUGAGGGCGUAGUCUCCUGCUGCAGUGUCCGACGGCCAUCUUCAUCUUUUGUGUGGGGGAAGGGGGUUGUACGCCUGACUUCCGGUACUAUAGCGAGGGUGCUGUACCCUUUUUCGACUCUUGUAGGUGGCAUCUUUAUCAUCCCUUUCAAUCUGAUCGUCGUUGCCGUGGGCGUCUUGUUCUCCUUUUUCGUGCACAGCUUCGCUACACAGGCCAAGUGAACAGUUGUACGAAAGGCGGAAUCAGAGAAGCGAGGAAGCCACCACGACGUUCACAGAGCAUACCUGACAGCGAGUGCAUGCCUCUCUCGCACUAUCGAGCGAAGAGUUUUGUCGCAUCGACUCCUCUUGGAUCUUCUCUCGUUUUGUGUGUACACCGUACGGCGUCUUGUCCAUCUGCGCCGCAGCUCCGUUCCGCCCCCCACCCCCUUGGCCUCGUGCACUUCGCACUCAGCGCUUAUCUUUUUUUUUUCCUCUUCCUUUUCUAGCGUGAACGAGCAGUACUCUCGCCUUGGACGGAUCGGGAGCGAUCGUUUUUCACUUUGACCCUCGCCUGGUUCCCGUCGUCGAUCUUCCUAUUCGUGUGCUCGUCGGUCCCACUCCCUGUCUCUCUGUGUCUGUGUGUUUGUGUUGAUCCGGCUGUGCGUGCGCUUGUUGUGGUGGUUCUUGCGUGUGUGGCGGUGCGCCGCUGUUUUGGUUGUCCUCUCCGUCUGUAUCUGCUUUUUUCUCGCUGUUCUUCACGUGUCUGUUUUCUUGUUCUUUCCGGGAUGUGUGUGUGCGUGUAGGGGGAGGGAGCUCUUUUGUGUUCAGCAUGUCUCUUCUGAGAGGAUCUGUGUCCAUUAAUCGCACCCUUGUCACGAUCGUCCUGCUCUUGACACUCCCACUGCUCUUGGACCUAACGCGGUUGCCGGACAGCUCAGCAGCUCAGGAGUAUGUCUUCUCCCUUCUGACCCCCUGCGAUGGGGUCGGGCUCUGCAACCUCUGUGGGGAGGUGCUGGAGAUGGUAGACCUCGUGCAGCGUGCACUCGCGAACCCGUUUCAAGAUAAGUUGACGCUCUCGCCGGAGGACUGGGAUGCGCAUGGGCUUCAGUCAUAUCAGCGAUGUCUGCAGGAGCCGUUCCUGCGCGGCUGCGAUACGCUUCUUCACAAAAUCAGGAUGCAGAGAAUCGAUUUUGCGAAGGGAAUUCUGGAGCAGGUGGUCGAGGAUGUGCAGUUUCGGCAGAAGUGGGGCUCUUUAGGCGAGGACUACGUCAUCGACAACGCCGUGCAGCUCACCACGUACAUCUUCGACUCACAGGAGCGCUCGCUCGGCGGGAGGCGCGAUCCACGCAAGGAGGACGGCGCCGCCCGAAAUAUUGUUUACCAGCCAUCCACACUUAGCCUCGGCGGCGACCCCGAGGUCGAAAGCCUGGUUACGCGCGUGUGGUUUCUGCGGCGCGAUGUUCUGCUUCUCCAUCAGGACUUCUGCUACCCCGUCUGUGAGGGUAGGCUGACCGUCUUUGGGCGGGUGCAAGUGGCGCUUCUGCGCUUCUACGUGCGACACGCCAUCAAACCUCGUCUUCUUCUUCUGCGGCAGCAGCAUCGCGGUACACUAGUGGUGGCGGAGCUCAUGAUGAUCGGCUUAGCCUUCUGCGUUGAGAGAGUGAUGCGUCCUGGUCUGACGUGCAGCGGCACCGUGGCGCGCCGUAGCGGGCGCGUGCAUGGAGGUACAGCAUCCUCGACGUCCACUGGCAGCGGCUUGGUGAGUGGGGUCCAUGGGGAAGAUAGCGCGGCGGCGGCAACCAGCGGCGGCGGUAGCGGUGAUGGCGGUGGCGGUGGUAAACUUCACUGUCGACCAGGUCGACGACGGCGCUGGGUUGUGGUGGUGUAAACUCCAGAAGAAAGAUGCGAUAUUCUGAGAGUAGGGGUGGGCGAGUGGGAUGCAGUGUCCACUGCUAACAGCUCUGUUUGGGAAAGGGGUUCUCCCGUCGUGGCGCACGCGCGCGCGUAUUUUGUGAGGGUGGUUCUUUUUUUCAGCAGAUGGCUGAAGUUGAGACGGGCGGCUGCUUCAUAUUCUGUGCACGGGGCAUCGCUUCCUUUUUCCUCUGGUUGGCGGGCACGCAUCGGUAGGCUUUGCUGCGACGCUAUAGCGUUGUCGGCCGCAAUUUGGUCAGUUGUUGUUCUCGUGGCUGCGGUGCUUCUUGCUGUCCAGGGUGACUGCCCAUCAGCAGCCCCGAAGCGAGAUAAAGGGGUGCUGAUUUGGCAGUCGUACACGAAUCGUUGAAUCCUUUUCGUGUGAGACUCUGCGUCGGCAAGCUGUCUCUUUUCCGUUCCUCGUUGCUAUCUGCUUCAAGCCUCGCUCACCCCAGUCGCUCAGUCUACUUUCUCUCCUGCACCCUGUCGUCUCUCUUGACGCCCUCCAUCUCUCCAG
This 2690-nucleotide unclassified non-coding RNA is filed under the name Leishmania donovani. RNAcentral describes it as "gene:LdHU3.36.7010(CDS-product:hypothetical_prote in_conserved)". Lineage: Eukaryota; Euglenozoa; Kinetoplastea; Trypanosomatida; Trypanosomatidae. The record is from RNAcentral.